Pollicipes pollicipes is the source of this 990-nucleotide long non-coding RNA. RefSeq lists it as uncharacterized. Lineage: Eukaryota; Metazoa; Arthropoda; Thecostraca; Pollicipedomorpha; Pollicipedidae. The transcript has 4 exons. The record is from RefSeq and is a predicted model, not a curated record.
GAAACAGAUCAACGGCACUGGUCUGACGGCGUUUCAAACGGGACCGAACUUUUAAGUGCCGGGAUUCAGUGCAUCCAGCGUUUAAGGGGCUCUGCAUCUCAUGUCAUCAGAUAUGGUGUUUCCGAGGUGCACAGCUGAGAUAUUAACGUGGAACUUAUCGUACCUAUACUUACUGGACAAAGAAGAUACGCAAGUCUGCUGACUGACAAGCGAGACUCUUGGAAUCGCAUGGAGCGGUUCAGCCUACGGCCGGCGAAGGGAGGAGACGGACCCCUGAUGACCUCGGUGGCAGCGCGGACGCCUUCAACGCCCACUUCGCCGCCUCAUAGUACGCGUACCAACCGUGUCACUCUGCGGAGAACGCCGUGCUCGACGCCGUCAUACGGCUCUCAAGGGUCGUCGACAACGAUCAUGUCGCGUCGGCCACGACGAUCGACCUCAGCAAAACCUUCGACAGAGUCGACUAUGGCGUCCUCCUGACCUGGUGACCGGUAUCGCCACUGCGACCACAUCACGUCUGCCUGAGAAACACUGGGAUGGUUCAGCGUGGCGGAGAUAACGCGCCGAAGCAACCGUGUAAACAUGUACCGAACACAUUGCAUGUUAACAGGGCGCCCGCCGCUCUGCGCUCGCUGUUCUAUACGUGCGCGGAGGACUCCCAGCGUACUACCCGGGCCGCGGACCGUGGGAGCGGUUCCUUGUACCUGGAUCGCGUCAGAGUGACUGCCGCCACUCAGCGGCAUUUUCCGUACCGGGCGGCUGCCGUAAGAAACUGUUUACCCCAGCGACUGCCUACGCUCUAUCACGGCGCGCCUUCCUGUCUGUUUAAAGGCUCUGACCUCGUGACUGAGAAGUACGAUCGUGUGUGCGUGUGUGCUUAUGCCGAACUUAGAAAUGCGUUUCUGGCAUACUUUUGUGUUUUGGCGUUCUUGUAUAAACCCGACUGGGUGCAGAAUGGUCACCGCGUGGAAGCCCCCAAUAUAAACAAAC